UUUCCCAUCCAAAUGGCAGAGAUCUCGAGACACCAGAGAUAUGGCUGGGAGACAAAAGAAGCAGCCUGAAUGGCCAAUGUAAAAUCCUGCAGCCAGUGAAAAGCAUCCACUUCAUGUCAAAAUGAAGGCGUUAUCAAGCCAUUUUCAGAUGAACAAAAGCUGAGCAGACACGUACAGCACAAAACGCCGGGGAUGGGGGGUUUUCUUCAAGAUAAGUGGGGACAGCAGCAGACAGGAGCUCAGAUAGAAGAGAAUGAGUAAAGGACACCAGCAAUGGCGAGAUGGAACAAAGAAAUGAAUCUGUCUUUCUCUUUGAAUAUUUCUUUGAAAGAGGAAAGACUGUAUCAAGAGAAAUGUAUACUCUUGUAUUGAGGGUUACUGAGCCUGGCUGAGGAGAAUGUGUCACCAGAGCAGCACAGAGGCAGGGGUGGACCAGCAGUUACAUCGAGGUAGAUCCUUGUGUUAACAGGAAAAACACUUGGAGUCUCCAACACCACUGCUAUCCAGGCAUCCAUUCAUUCAAUUGAAGUGAUCGAAUCCAGGAUAGGACCAGCAGCCCCAGUAGUCCUGGGAGGUCAGUCAGAGAUCGGGACCAGGAAGCUUUUACUGCAGGGCCUCUCUGGAGUGUGGAUGGGAUUCUGGGAUUACUCAGCCCCUAAGAGCAUGGGGACUACAUGGAUGCAGAGAUGAUAACCUUCAUGGUCUUUUAGAGCUGGAGGUAAGUGUUGAAUUGGCCAUCUCUUUCCCUCCUUACAUCUUAUACACAGAGAGAACUGAGGUUCAGAGGAGUGAACUCAGUGCUGGCAUCAGCUAGUUUGAUCAUAACCAGGAGUAGAGCUCAGGUCUCCAGGUCCUGAGCCUGUGUCCUCUACCCCACAUCUACUUCCCUAAACUUCUUCCCAGAGGCCUUCUGAAGGUGGGUGGGGGUGGGGAGUUGACUCCUCAGGCACGUGGAGAUCAUCUCACUAAAAUUGAGAUUACAGCACCGUUUCCCCAGGCAGCAUGGGUGUGCUACCUUUUACUGUAGGGAGGCCUCUACCAGGCAUUCUGCUACAGCCGAGCACCUAGCCUCUAUCUUGUUUCCAUCAACAUAAUCUGUUCGCAACAUGAGAUUGGGCUUUUCCCUGGCCCCUUAUCACUAAUAGGAUCAGCGGAUUCUGCAGGAUGUGGGGAGCUGCAGUGAGCAUGCUCAGUCGGGGAAGCCGCUGUCUCAGAAACCGCAGCUCAGCUGGGUAUACACCAAGCUUUUGUAUUCAGGAGAGGAGAGUUCACCAGGAUUCGUCUCUCUCUCCUGGACCGCUUUAGCUCAGGCUGUAGCUCUAACUCAAAGCCCUGUCAACCAGAGGACGGUUUGGUUAGUGCCUCGUAGAGCCUCCACCGAGUCGUCGCCAUCUUACUUUUGGAAGCUUCUCUCAUCAUAUAUAACAUUUAUCUCACUUUAGGUGUGGUUUUUUUUUCUUCUUGCUAUAACAAAUCAAAUGAUUUUAAAUAAAUUUGCUUUAGAAACGACUUGGUCAAAAGAGACCGAUUCGAUUAUACUUCACGAAUCGUGUAAAAUGGCCAACAUUAUAAGCUUUAGAGACAUUUUAUUCAGUUUGAUUUUUCAGUUUUCUUUUCAUCUUUUGGAACCAAUCUUUCCUAGGCCGUCAAUGUGUUUGCCAUAGGCACUUCUGGCUUGUACCUGAUAAAGAAGUCUCACACGGGAAAGGAAGAAGCCGAAUGGAGCUCCCACUUCGGGUCUGCUGCUUGUUAGCUGUGCACCCUUGGGUGAGGCCCGGAGCUUUGGGUAUUUUAGUGAGACAGGGAGGCAGAAUGCAGCACUCUGCACCCUGCACCCCAAGCUGUUGCUUUUUGGGACAGGCUGAAUGUCAGGUAGCUUGGUGUAGAUGAAUUCAGGGGUUUGAGUAAGGGAGCUGGAGAUCAGACUUCCCUCCUUGGGAAGGGGAAGGGUUAGCCAGCUGGAAUCCAAGUCAGAAGCUGGGGCUUCCGUUGCUAGGCAACAGCAGCCUUUGUCUUGCUGUGACUCAGACAGGAGUAGGGUUUUUGAGUGGGCUCCAGCCACACAUGACUUCCUGCCUCUGCCAUUGACUCUCCCAUCUUCCUGCUUUCCUAGAGUGCAGCGUUAGUCACCACUUGCGACUCUCCUCAGCGCACCCUGUUCAGAGGCUGCCUCUAGCCCAGCCUUUAGGGCACACCAAUCUGUCUUACUUCCAAAUGCAUGGGAGGGAGCCUACACAGGGUAGGAAAACAGACAUGUUGCACUGUAAAAGCCUGAACUCAGUAUUAGCUCUUCCAGAGUUCUUAGGGUGUGUGAGAUACAGUCCCCCCACUUCUUAACUUCUCAUGGUAGGGCUUCAGGGAUCUCCACCUCUGUUACCAACUUCUCUUCACCAGACAUGCAGAGCAAUUCACCAGUUCUCAGAUUGUGUCUCCCCAUUCUCAGAUCCCGUUUCCCCCUUGCUUUAGUUUUUUAGGACUGGGCUUUGAAAUGUCUUCACUUCUGGAAGGCUCUUCCCCACUGACCCCACCCAGGUAGGUGUGGCUUGUAUCCCAGGAGUUAGGUGUUUGGGGCUUGUUAUCCAAUGUGAUGAAAUGGGUGUUGUAGCUAAUGUGAUUAGGUCAUCACCAUUGGGAGGGAUCACUGUUGGGCUUGAGGGAAAGUUAGUUGUACUGGCUGGUUUUGUGUGUCAACUUAACAGUAGCUGGAGUUCCCACAGAGAAAGGAGCCUCCCUUGAGGAAAUGCCUCCAUGAGAUAGGGAGCCUUCCCUGGCUUCCAGGUGCCGUUGUCAUAGAGGACAAGAUCCUAGCAAGCCAGCUGAUGAGGCCUCCUGGAGCAUCUGUGAUGUGGCCAGCCUUGCACUGUGGCAGAAGCAAGAGAAGGCUCUUCCGCUCUUGAAUAAUUAUUUCGUGUACUGGGAGAGAUGAAGACAGUUCGUGGAGAGGUACCAGUUGUGAGGUAGAGGAGAUGGGGCAGUUGUGAGGAUCAUUAUAGUUAAGACGGAGAGAGACUGACCCUGAGUGGUCAAGAAAUGCUUCCUGGAGGAGGCGAGCCUCGGGGAACGAGAAGUCCAUGGAGGGCCUCAAACAUACAGACUGCCUCCUGAGCACCGGCUUCGAGCUCGGAGCUUUGUGGAUAUGGUUGCUAUUGCGGCCGUCUUACAGAGUUUCAACGUCAGAACCAUUACGGUCUCUUUGUGAGUGAGACAAAUGGGGCUCUAAGAGGUGGAGUUUUCCACCUGGUUUCACAGUGAAUGAGGGGCAGAGCCAGGAUGAGCAUUCAGCACUGGGGGACUGGAAGCCUGAGCCUGAGGUAUUCACUGCUGUUAUGCAAAUGUCUGUGUGCAGAGGGUGCCCGUCUGGCACUAAUUAACCUGUAAGGAGUGUGGAAUCUCAAGGUCGAAGAUUGGUGGGGGCACAAUUUCAGAGUAGGGUCCCAGUCUGGACCUUAGCAGGUGAUACUGUAUCCCUCAGUGUUGAUGGACCUUUCUUCUUGUUGGUGGUUUUGGAAAGGUGUGGCCUUGUCACUCUAGCCUCACACCUGGGCUUGGGCCACAUCCUCUCACUGCAGAUGAAUGCAGCAGCCCCUAGGCUCAUGGCCGUCAGUAGCAUCUGUCCACAGCGGCCACCACCAUGAUCCUCCGAAGCAUAGAUCCUCUUGCUCCCAGUGUACUGGAAACUCCCAUUUCCACAGAAUCCUCAACGAUGCUGCAGGCCUCCUUUCCCUGUCCCUCCUCUCCUUCAUCUCUGCCUCUCCAGUCAGAAACCCUCUGCUUCUCUCUUGACCAUCUUUGGGCUUCCUGUGAUCACAUCCCUCCCAGUCCAGCUCCCUGUGACCUUCAUCCAUCCUCUAGGUGUGUGGAUAGAUGCUCUCUCUCACAGUCUCAGAGGACAGGGACAGAAAUAGGGAUAGAGUUAGCUCUCUUGAGUGGCUUCAGGCCCAGCAGAGAAUAGUCAGAGAGCUACAACCAGGCCUGCCCGCAUCUCCGCCAGGCAUCCUACAAGUGUGUUCCUAGCAUCCACUUGGAGCUCUCUUUGAGGCUGGGUAUUCGGGACACCGAGAAAAGUGAGGGCAGGUUGUGCCCUGUCUUUGUGGCAUGCGCAGAUCACAGGUUUGACUUUCUCCAAACCUCAGCUACUCUGUUAGGGAAAUCAGCUGAGCUGUGUGGGAAUAAUGUUGGGAGCAGAGCCCAGCUGUGUGUCUGCCCCCAUGAUGCCAAAAGUGGGUAGAGCAUUGAAGGACGAGUAGCCAAAGCCUCGUGAGGGGCAGCUGGUCUGUCUCAGUCCUACAUGGUUUUUUCCUCCGAGACUCAGAGUGAUCCAUCCCCUUUGGGCCCCUCCACUGAACGGUGCUGCUUCAGCUCCUGUGGCCAGUUUUUUCUGUGAGCCAUUCCAGAGAACUCACAGUGACCAGAGAAGUAGGUCUUAGAGCCAUUGCCCACAGGAUAGGAGGGGCUCCUGCCAACAGGCAGGCAUUGUUUACUAUGGACAGACAGCAGGCUGCAUGUUUUCCUAAUUUCCCAGAGAGCUCAUUUUACGCUCUGCUAAGAGCUCAAUGAGCUGGUACAAAAGCUGGGAGGCCCUCCUGCUUCCAGCGGGAUGGUUGGUGGGAGCCUGACACGGCGCUGUGCUGAGGACCAGGCAUCCAGAGCUAUAUUCCCGCAGGUCUUCCUCUCACAAGGGCCCCCUGAAGAUACCUUCCCUCCUAGGAUGGAUGGCUAGUGCGUCUCUGCAGCGAUGAGAGCCUUGGGGACUUCUGAGCUGGUGGAGUCUAAUCUAAGCAAUGCUAAAGACUAAAGGAGUCUUUUGUGGGCUUCUGGCCUGGCCUCAGUGAAGAGGGGGGUGUGACCUGGAAGGUCAGUUCCCUCCCCCUGGCCCAGAGUGAGAUUCUAUCCAGAGUGGCUGGGAUGAACCAGCUGAGAUCUGGAACUGUCCUGUGGUGCAAAUAGAAUGUGGGGACCAAGUGACUGGUCCUAGAUCUGGCUGCAGACAUAAGCAGAGGCUUCCUCACAAGGCACCUGGAAUAUGCCCAGAGAAUUUGCUCUUGCCGCCAUAAAAGUCUUUGUUUUUACAUUUACUUAUUUAGUGUGUGUGUGUGUGUGUGUGUGUGUGUGUGUGUGUGUGUGUGUGUGUGUGUGUAUGGAGGUCAGAGGACAAUUUACGGAAGUCAGUUCUCUCCUUCCAUUAUGUGGGCUCUGGGCAUCAAACUCAAACCAUCGGACUUGGUGGCAACGGCUUCACAGUUUAAAAAAAAGCAUCGUCUCCUCUUAUGAUGUUGAGAAUGGACUUCAGGCUUGUCCCAAUGCUUACGUUGCCCACUUUGGGUUUUGAGACAGGGUUAACACUGGCUUGGCGCAUAGCAAGUGGAUUGGCUGACCAGCAAGCCACUGGGAUCCUGUUGUCUCCAGUCUUCCAAGGGCUAGGACUACAAGCGUAUGCCAUGAGCCUCGUCUUCAAGGCGUGUGUUCAGGGAAUCAAAUGCAGACCCUUGCUCUCGCAAGGCAAGUACUUUAUCGGCCAAGCUCGUAGCUGCUCUUUAUUGGCAUUUGUAUGUUCCUCAUGCCCCAUGUCUGAAAAUUCCAGUAUCUAAAGCUCCUGUGAGUCUUUUCUGAAGAUUCAUACCUGUUAUUCUUUAUUUCUUUGUGUGCUUGGUAUUUCGGGGGCUAUAUGCUGCUUAUUACCUUCAGGACAUCCCUGGUAAGGAUUCCUGGGGCCUUGUUUGCCAUUUGGUUUGCUAGAGAGAUUUCUGUUUGCUUCUGCACUGACUGGGGACACUACCCAAGGUUUCAACCCAAGCUUCUCAUGAACUUCACAAUGUGCCCAAUUCUCAAAACAGUGUACAAAGCAGACUGUGUCUAUGCUAAGCUUUCCCCAUUCAGCCAAUGUCAGGGUCAAGAUGAACCCUUCGCUGUUUGUGGGGAGCCAGCUAUGUUGUGGUCACACUGAAUCUACUUGGACCUUCUGUUUACUCCUCAGCAUUACAGAGGAGAGGAUUUCACAUCAGACCCCCAACCUUGGGACACCGGUCUGUGACUGAGUUUGACCUUUUGACCCCAUAACUCAGGUGGUCUUAGAGAAGGACCUCAAGGGUCGGAGGGUCUAAGAGGAACCCUCAGGGAGGAAGUAAUGCUGCCUCUCAUCUUCCUUCCCAAAGUCUUAUUUUACUUUGUUUUAGGGCUCUGCAUAUCUUUCUUCUGUGCAAGAUCAAGCAAUGUAUUUAAGCAGAGUUAAAACAUGUUUUAUACAACCCCUUAGUUGUUAUACCCUGGAAGGCCCCAUAGGGGGACAAAUCACAUCAGAUCCAACCCCGUGGUUGGUUGGAAACAAGCUGCGUGUCAUUCUUUAUAACUUAAGUUAAUUUACUAACUCUACCUGUGUCAGCUUGAGGUCUCUCUCUCUCUCUCUCUCUCUCUCUCUCUCUCUCUCCCCUCCUCCUCCUCAGGGAUGGAUGGCAGCUUUGCAAUGCCAAGGCAUGGGUGUGGGAACACUGUACACUGGACAGCAGUGCCCUUUCUGCAGAGGACAGAGGUGGCAAUGCGUGUGGGAGCAGCGUGCACCAGAUCGCAGCGCUGUCUCUGCGCUUGGCACGGGUGCAGAUGUUCCAUCCAUCUGCCCCGAGACAUGUGCACACGCCGGGGUGGUUCUCAGUGGUCAGUGCCAUUCUUGAGGGUCGCAUAACCCACUUGUUACAGCCUGGACCUUGAGCUUCCUCUUAAAAUUACCAGAACAUGCUGUGCAGGUUGGAGGAAUGUGUCCCACCAGUGGCUCUGAUGAGGGACCUGGCCUGGAUCAUCUGUAUCCUGGGGUAAGAUAUUGAUCGAGCUGCGCUUGAGCCCCAAGAGGCGGUACUGAAGGAAUCGAGGGGCUUGAUUCAAAGGUAUAGGAACUCAGGGAGGGACAUUUCUAGAGAGGCCAGGAGUCUCCCCCUAUUCUCUCCCUGCAUCUCUGGUCUUUCCUUUUCACUUUCUCCCUUCUCUCUUCUCUGUGUCAUCUCCCUCCCUCCCUCCUUCAUUCCCCCCUCCCUCCCUCCUUUGUUUUCUCUGUCUGUUUAUGUAGCCCAUGCUGGCCUCAGACACACCACCUUUCUGCCUCAGUCUCCUGAGUACUGAGGUCAUACUGCGUACCGUUGAGUACAGAGGUCAUACCGUGUACUGCUGUACCUGUGCCUUCUUUUAUGGUAAAGCACCCAUUUAAUAUUUUUGUCUCUUAAAAAUAAUUCUUGUUUUUCUUUUUUAUGGAUGUAAUAUAGAUUAAAAUCCAUGAUCGAAAACAUAGAAAAGCACAAGCCCGUCUACCAAUGUUUAAUGCAUUAUUUACGUAUCCCUGCGCCUAGCUAUCUAUUUGUUAUAGGUAAAAUAAGAAAAACGUAAUCCAGUGCUUUGUGUUAUAAAAUUUGGAUGAUAUUCGGUGACAAGGUGUUUAGAGAUUACUCCUCCCCGAUUGUUGAUCUAUUAUGUAAUUUUUAUUGCUCUAAGUAUCUUUGAAAAUAUGUUUUGAAAAGAUUAUUUUUAAAGGCUCGUAGAUUCAGUAUGUGGGGUAUUAGGUAUUCACUUGCAUUAUGUGUUUGGAUGCCUUCCAGUUAUUCCAGCUUUAUAAAUAAGUCUUUGAUAAAUACCUCGGUGGAUAUUAUUUCUGCUGUUUACAUUUGGUUCUCCCUGUGUAAAUGGAUUUGUUGGCUCAUUUUUAGUUAUUUUUGUUAAUCAAAGGAAUGUAUUCUACAGUAAUGUGAAGUGUAUGUGUAUAUGCCAUAUAAAUGUUAGAAAUAUUACGUUUUGAAAAAAAACCAUGCAAUACAAAUAUCACAGCUUAUGGCAAAAUGCGUUUGAGGCAGAUCACUCAAAAUUUAUGUAACAUCGUGACCAUGGCAUGAAUAAAAAGUAACAAUCCUAAUAAAAAUGCUAUUAAAAUUAAUUAUAUUCACAACAAAUCGAGUAACUACACCACUGAAUAUUGAACUUUUCCGUUUGCUUGUUGCUUCCUGGGAGAGGGGUAAGGAAGAGCUCCCGGUGGGGAACGUCCCUCUGGAAGAUGGCGCAGAAGAGUGAGGGGAAAGUCUGUAGAGUGGCGUGAGGUCAGCAACAGCAGCCUCCACGGCAGGGCAAGCAAGAAGCCGAGACACCAAGGGCACGCUGAGGAGGCAGCGGUGAACUUCAAAUUCAGCAGCUACCUGGUGGCUUAAACGGACACUCCCUAAACCUUCUUCUCCUCACGACACUUUUUGCUAGAGAAAUUAUUUUCUUAUUACAUUUAUUUAUUUAUUUAUUUAUUUAUUUAUUUAUUUAGUGUGUGCACAUGGUGGUGGUGGUGGUGGUGUGUGUGUGUGUGUGUGUGUGUGUGCGCGUGUGCGCGUGUGCGCGCGCGUGUGACAGAGGAUAACUCUCAGGAGUUCUCUCCUUCCUUUAUGUGGGUCCUGGGGCUUGAAUUUAAGUUGUAAUUCCUGGUAGAAAGUGUCUUUAACUACUGAUCCAUCUUGCACAAUUUUUAUAUGACCCUAGGCACAUGGUAUAAAUCCAAACAUUUACUAGAGAAAUAAAUCAUGGAGAAGUAUAUUUUUACAUGCUUCUUUGGCCUAUAUACAAUUUUCCCUCUUAUUAAAGAUGAAAAGCAAACUGACAAACUAAUCAGAAUGGUGCGUUUGUUUGUUUAACAUAUUACGACCCUAAGAUAUACUAAAUUAAUACUUACAUGCUAAGGGAUGACAGGGAAAUAUUUUAAAAGCUUUUUUACUUUUCAUGAAUAAACUAUUAUGUGCCUUUAAGGGUCAAACCAAACCAAACCAAACCAAACCAAACCAAACCAAACCAAACCAAACCAAAAACAAAUAAGAAAGGCUGCACAUUGAAAACACUGAAAUUCAUAACUCAUGGCAGACUCAAAUCAGAGGCCGGGCGCUCCGGGAGGUGUGUUGGCGUUGUGUAGCCUGUCGGCCUGUACAGUGUGAAGCAUGGCCCAGUGCAUAUUGCGUGUUUGGAACCAAGCCUGCGAUGAAGUCGAGAGCACAACAGGACAAAUCCUGCUAAAGUACUUUGACUCAUUGUGUGUGUGACUUUUGACUUGGCCAUUGUGUGUUCAGAAAAUUCUUACUGUUGCCAAGUUUUUAAUGCUCACUCCCAUUCAGUGUCGUAGCCCUGUACGAGGCCCUGGGUCACGGUGUGAGCUGUUUUGGCUUAGAGCAGAGACUACAGGAAACACACGGACAAUGACCCCCCAGGCUCCGUGAUGUCUUUCUUUGCCGUGCCCAUUAUGUUUGACCUUGUUUUCCUUACAAAAAUGUGUCCUGGAGGCAACAGGACUGCGUGCAAAAUUGGUGUCCUUUAGAUUUCUGCUGUUGUGUCUAAAAGUCCUCAGGAGGACUCUGCACAACACAGACUUUUAGACCUUGUUAUGAUUUGCUAAUUCAGGGCUGGGGAGAUGGCUUCUCAGAAAAAGCCCUUGUCCUAUAAGUAUCUGUACCCGAGUCUACCUAGCCCCAGACUACAUAAGAAUGUCAGGCAUGGUGACAUAUGAUUGUAACCACAGCUCUGUAAAGGCAGUGACAGGCAGGUCCCUGAGGUUCAAUGGCCAACCAGUCUAGGCUAAUUGGUGCACUCCAGGCUAAUGAGAGAGCCUGUCUUAGAGGAGGUGGACAGAGUUGUUAAGGAUGACAUCCAAGAUUGUCAGUUAGUUGCCAAGCACACCACACACACACACACACACACACACACACACACACACACACACACACACACACACACACACAUAUAU
Molecule: non-coding RNA, 9742 nt
Organism: Rattus norvegicus (Norway rat)
Lineage: Eukaryota; Metazoa; Chordata; Mammalia; Rodentia; Muridae
Source: RefSeq, a predicted model, not a curated record